Molecule: ribosomal RNA, 406 nt
Filed under: uncultured bacterium
Lineage: Bacteria
Description: partial 16S ribosomal RNA
Rfam family: Bacterial small subunit ribosomal RNA
Source: RNAcentral
AUUGAACGCUGGCGGCAGGCCUAACACAUGCAAGUCGAACGAGUGGCGGACGGGUGAGUAAUGUCUGGGAAACUGCCCGAUGGAGGGGGAUAACUACUGGAAACGGUAGCUAAUACCGCAUACCAUCGGAUGUGCCCCGAUGGGAGUAGCUAGUAGGUGGGGUAAUGGAUCACCUAGGCGACGAUCCCUCGCUGGGCUGAGAGGAUGACCAGCCACACUGGACCUGAGCAACGUGCCAGACUCCUACGGGAGGCAGCAGUGGGGAAGAUUGCACAAUGGGCGCAAGCCUGAUGCAGCCAUGCCGCGUGUAUGAAGAAGGCCUUCGGGUUGUAAAGUACUGUCAGCGAGGAGGCGUUACUCGCAGAAGAAGCACCGGCUAACUCCGUGCCAGCCGCCGCGGUAAUAC